Pezoporus occidentalis (night parrot) is the source of this 1739-nucleotide long non-coding RNA. RefSeq lists it as uncharacterized. NCBI's taxonomy places the organism in Eukaryota, Metazoa, Chordata, Aves, Psittaciformes, Psittacidae. The transcript has 3 exons. The record is from RefSeq and is a predicted model, not a curated record.
GGGAUUGUCUUAAUUGGGUGUUAAUGGGUCCCAGCUGGGAGAUAGGCUCAGCUGGGUGCCAAUUGCCCUAAUUGAUAAGAACCUCUGAUUGGGUCCUUGGAGGAAGCUGUUGUUCGUUGAACCUCCUAAAGGAAGGUUGGAAAGGCAAUAGUUGUUGCUUAAAAGGAGGAAAGGUUUAGUUAUUGGUAUUUGAGUUUUUAUGAUUUGGAAACUUGCUUCGAAUCAAGUGGAAGGAUUCAAAAACCAACCCAAGAGAGCUCUGUGGUGGGGAAUGAGACUGCAGUGGAGCAAGCAAAACUGCUUUGAAGAAAGUUCCCAAGACAGGUGGCGUGUUUCUCCAUUUGGAUUUCAGGAGGCAUAAACAACAGCAGCUGCGGAGAUGACCCUUCUCUGAUGGGAAAAUUCACUUCUGAAAACUCACUGUGAAAUUCACUUCUGUUCAGACUAUGACGCCAUGACAAGCUUCCAGCGUGGAGAUUUAAGAUGAUGGAAAAUAGAGCCACACAGUUCAGAGGUGCCAACAGCUCCUUGCUUUGGGUGUUAGUGGUACAGCAGAGUGCAGCCUGGAUUGCCUUGCACUCAUCCAGAUUCACCCCUUAGGAUGCUCACAUGUACUGGACUUCAGUGGAGAGUUUGGACAGGCAGCAAAACCUCCCAUCCUUGGGAACAUUCCUUAUUUUGGUGCUGGGAAAAUACUCUUAAAUGUUCCUCCAGUAUAAAAUUGGGAUUUUUCAGAUGAUGGGCUGAAGCAUUCCUGCAGUUUUGGAGAGUGCCCUAGGUUCCUUUCUAGCACAGGAAAACUUCCUUUGCCCUCACUGGGGGUGUGAGGGAAGGAAAAGAUGGAAUGGAAAGCAUUUGCCAUUUCCUCCAAGCAUGGUGGAGAGGUUUUAGGAUUGCACAGGACUCUGAUACCUGCUAUGCCAUGGUGCUGGACUUGCUGAGGGUGUGACAAAUGCAGAAAAUACAUAUUACAUGCAAGUCCCUUUAAAACAGGGUUCAUGUUUUAACCUCCAAAGAUGAAGAAAGGUUGGUAAAGAUUUUCUUGUUGCCAGUGACAGAAAUUUUUGUAGAUGUUUUUCUCACUUUAAAUAAACCACCAAAGCACUCCAAAAUAAAUGAUCAAGUUCUCUCCAUGCCUUCUGAUGGGCACUAUGAAUAUUCAGUUAAAUCUGCUUGUGGAUGCCUGUGACUGGCAAAAGAGUGAAAAUGAAGAUUGUGGAGGUUGGAAGCCUGGAGAGUGCUGGUUAAAGCCAUGAGGAUGUGUUGGUAGGAGGGAGGUGCAGGCUGUGAUUCCUCAUUGUGAUAAGUGAUGCAUACAUGUUACUGGGAAACACCUGUGGCUUUGUUUCUUCACUCUUAAUUCUGUCCUAGUGCAAACUGGCCUAUUAACCGGUAGCUCACUGGUUUGUGUGUAUGUGUAUCGUGAGGAGCAGAGGCACAAAGGAGGUAAUGUUGAGUCAGGAGCAGUCAGGAAGGAUCAAAGAUUGGCAAUUUCUGACACACAAAAGCAUAAGUGAUGCUGAACUCUCUCUAGGCUGAUUCCAGCUGAACACAAAGCAUUUUAACCUCGUAAUCCUUGCUUCUGAGUUAUUGCUCACACAUUCAGGGCUUUGUGGCUUUUUGGAGCCUCUCUCCUGUGCAUGACCCUGGUCCUAAGCAAAUAGCAAGGCACUACUGACUUGUACAGCACGUGUUGAAUGUUGAGCGUGGUGUUAACCUUGCAAGCUUUCUGGGUUUCU